AAUAUUGCGCUAAUGCGCGAAAGCGUGACGCAGCGACGCCGCGUGGGGGAUGAAGGCCCUCGGGUCGUAAACCCCUUUCGCCAGGGACGAAGGGAAACUGACGGUACCUGGAGAAGAAGUCCCGGCUAACUACGUGCCAGCAGCCGCGGUAACACGUAGGGGACGAGCGUUGUCCGGAUUCAUUGGGCGUAAAGCGCGCGUAGGCGGCCCGGAAAGUCGGUUGUGAAAGCCCGGGGCUCAACCCCGGGACUGCAUCCGAUACUUCCGGGCUGGAGGUAGGUAGGGGAGAUCGGAAUUCCUGGUGUAGCGGUGAAAUGCGCAGAUAUCAGGAGGAACACCGGUGGCGAAGGCGGAUCUCUGGGCCUUACCUGACGCUGAGGCGCGAAAGCUAGGGGAGCGAACAGGAUUAGAUACCCUGGUAGUCCUAGCCGUAAACGUUGGGUGCUAGGUGUGGGCGGACAUCGACCCCGUCCGUGCCGAAGCUAACGCAUUAAGCACCCCGCCUGGGGAGUACGGCCGCAAGGCUA
This 527-nucleotide ribosomal RNA is filed under the name uncultured Actinomycetes bacterium. Its description in RNAcentral is "bacterial SSU rRNA". It matches the Rfam family "Bacterial small subunit ribosomal RNA", at positions 359 to 896 of the family's 1533-position model. Lineage: Bacteria; Bacillati; Actinomycetota; Actinomycetes. The record is from RNAcentral.